GUUUGAGAUUUGAGAGGGGCUGCUCCUAGUACGAGAGGACCGGAGUGGACGAACCUCUGGUGUUCCGGUUGUCACGCCAGUGGCAUUGCCGGGUAGCUAUGUUCGGAAAAGAUAACCGCUGAAAGUGACCAUAUAA
RNAcentral lists this ribosomal RNA (136 nucleotides) under Pseudomonas aeruginosa. RNAcentral's name for it is "partial 23S ribosomal RNA". It matches the Rfam family "Bacterial large subunit ribosomal RNA", at positions 2653 to 2784 of the family's 2925-position model. Lineage: Bacteria; Pseudomonadati; Pseudomonadota; Gammaproteobacteria; Pseudomonadales; Pseudomonadaceae. The record is from RNAcentral.